Molecule: unclassified non-coding RNA, 232 nt
Filed under: Hevea brasiliensis (rubber tree)
Lineage: Eukaryota; Viridiplantae; Streptophyta; Magnoliopsida; Malpighiales; Euphorbiaceae
Source: RNAcentral
GGCGGUGUUGAUCUGGAAAAUUCCAGAGGCCAAAGCUUGAGUGGCGUCUUGCUUCCCGUUGACAUUGCUCCGACGAGGACCCGAUGAUCGACCGGAAUCUAGAUCUUGAAAGCUCAUUUCUUCGAAUUUUGAUCAAAAUUCAGAAAUCCAAAACCUAAAUUCGGCGAAAAUGGAACAAGAAAUUGGAGAAGAGAGAUUGGAUUCGUGCAACACGUUUAAAUGCUUCUUCUUU